UUAACUAUUUAAUAGUACUCAGACGACACUAAUAUUCAGAGUUUGAUAUCCUCUGGCGGGCACGCCGGACGCGAAUCCAGGCAAGCCAGGCUUGCGGCCCGCCAAAGCAACAUUUGAUAAUGAUACACAAGGGUGGGAGAUCUACCCCGAAGGGCAUGAACUCUGUAAUGAUCCUUCCGCAGGUUCACCUACGGAAA
Molecule: unclassified non-coding RNA, 197 nt
Filed under: uncultured fungus
Lineage: Eukaryota; Fungi
Description: sequence contains ITS1
Source: RNAcentral